GAUGAACGCUGGCGGCGUGCCUAAUACAUGCAAGUCGAGCGAACAGACGAGGAGCUUGCUCCUCUGACGUUAGCGGCGGACGGGUUAGUAACACGUGGAUAACCUACCUAUAAGACUGGGAUAACUUCGGGAAACCGGAGCUAAUACCGGAUAAUAUAUUUAACCGCAUGGUUCAAUAGUGAAAGACGGUUUUGCUUUCACUUAUAGAUUGAUCCGCGCCGCAUUAGCUAGUUGUUAAGGUAACGGCUUACCAAGGCAACGAUGCGUAGCCGACCUGAGAGGGGGAUCGGACACACGGGAACUGAGAAACGGUCGAGACUCCUACGGGAGGCAGCAGUAGGGAAUCUUCCGCGAUGGGCGAAAGCCUGACGGAGCAAAGCCGCGUGAGUGAUGAAGGUCUUAGGAUCGUAAAACUCUGUUAUUAGGGAAGAACAAAUGUGUAAGUAACUAUGCACGUCUUGACGGUACCUAAUCAGAAAGCCACGGCUAACUACGUG
RNAcentral lists this ribosomal RNA (497 nucleotides) under uncultured bacterium. Its description in RNAcentral is "partial 16S ribosomal RNA". It matches the Rfam family "Bacterial small subunit ribosomal RNA", at positions 28 to 507 of the family's 1533-position model. The record is from RNAcentral.